This 841-nucleotide ribosomal RNA is filed under the name Caulobacteraceae bacterium. Its description in RNAcentral is "bacterial SSU rRNA". It matches the Rfam family "Bacterial small subunit ribosomal RNA", at positions 1 to 892 of the family's 1533-position model. Lineage: Bacteria; Pseudomonadati; Pseudomonadota; Alphaproteobacteria; Caulobacterales; Caulobacteraceae. The record is from RNAcentral.
CACGUUCAGGAUUUUGGACUGCUCAGAGCGAACGCUGGCGGCAGGCCUAACACAUGCAAGUCGAACGAACUCUUCGGAGUUAGUGGCGGACGGGUGAGUAACACGUGGGAACGUGCCUUUAGGUUCGGAAUAACUCAGGGAAACUUGUGCUAAUACCGAAUGUGCCCUUCGGGGGAAAGAUUUAUCGCCUUUAGAGCGGCCCGCGUCUGAUUAGCUAGUUGGUGAGGUAAAGGCUCACCAAGGCGACGAUCAGUAGCUGGUCUGAGAGGAUGAUCAGCCACAUUGGGACUGAGACACGGCCCAAACUCCUACGGGAGGCAGCAGUGGGGAAUCUUGCGCAAUGGGCGAAAGCCUGACGCAGCCAUGCCGCGUGAAUGAUGAAGGUCUUAGGAUUGUAAAAUUCUUUCACCGGGGACGAUAAUGACGGUACCCGGAGAAGAAGCCCCGGCUAACUUCGUGCCAGCAGCCGCGGUAAUACGAAGGGGGCUAGCGUUGCUCGGAAUUACUGGGCGUAAAGGGAGCGUAGGCGGACAUUUAAGUCAGGGGUGAAAUCCCGGGGCUCAACCUCGGAAUUGCCUUUGAUACUGGGUGUCUUGAGUAUGAGAGAGGUGUGUGGAACUCCGAGUGUAGAGGUGAAAUUCGUAGAUAUUCGGAAGAACACCAGUGGCGAAGGCGACACACUGGCUCAUUACUGACGCUGAGGCUCGAAAGCGUGGGGAGCAAACAGGAUUAGAUACCCUGGUAGUCCACGCCGUAAACGAUGAUUGCUAGUUGUCGGGAUGCAUGCAUUUCGGUGACGCAGCUAACGCAUUAAGCAAUCCGCCUGGGAGACCGGCCCUUG